AGACGGAGGGCGCAAGCGUUGUUCGGAAUUACUGGGCGUAAAGGGCGGGCAGGCGGUCUGUUAAGUCUUUUGUGAAAAUCCGGGGCUCAACCCCGUGAAACGCAGAAGAUACUGGCAGACUUGAGACCAGUAGAGGCUAGCGGAAUUCCUGGUGUAGCGGUGGAAUGCGUAGAUAUCAGGAAGAACACCUGUGGCGAAGGCGGCUAGCUGGGCUGGAUCUGACGCUCAUCCGCGAAAGCGUGGGGAGCAAACAGGAUUAGAAACCCCAGUAGUCC
Molecule: ribosomal RNA, 275 nt
Filed under: uncultured bacterium
Lineage: Bacteria
Description: partial 16S ribosomal RNA
Rfam family: Bacterial small subunit ribosomal RNA
Source: RNAcentral